RNAcentral lists this small RNA (47 nucleotides) under Arabidopsis thaliana (thale cress). RNAcentral describes it as "ATSL124790". The record is from RNAcentral. Lineage: Eukaryota; Viridiplantae; Streptophyta; Magnoliopsida; Brassicales; Brassicaceae.
CUGUCUCAAUGAACAAACAGUACAAGAAAAGAAAAAGAAGCAAAACA